Molecule: transfer RNA, 72 nt
Filed under: Ictidomys tridecemlineatus (thirteen-lined ground squirrel)
Lineage: Eukaryota; Metazoa; Chordata; Mammalia; Rodentia; Sciuridae
Description: Spermophilus tridecemlineatus (thirteen-lined ground squirrel) tRNA
Rfam family: tRNA
About the family: Transfer RNA (tRNA) molecules are approximately 80 nucleotides in length.
Source: Rfam by way of RNAcentral
GGGGAUGUAGUUAAAUGGUAUAGUGCUUGACUAGCAUGCAUGUGGCUCUGGGUUCAAUCCCCAGCACCACCA